Molecule: long non-coding RNA, 426 nt
Filed under: Capsicum annuum
Lineage: Eukaryota; Viridiplantae; Streptophyta; Magnoliopsida; Solanales; Solanaceae
Description: long non-coding RNA (CANN_LNC009698)
Source: RNAcentral
UUGUCUUUCAUAUUACACCUUCAACCACUUUCUAUUCAAAGACCAGUUACCAAAUACCUUUUUCCUGUUUCAGGUAAGUAUUUUUUUUGCUUUUUGUUUAAAUAUACCCAUUUUGUAGUAUACGUUGUAUUACAUUUGGACUCUUUUCUUCACUUGUGUUUUUAUAUUUUUUGUCAAUUCAUGCGUGUUCUAGAUAUGACUGAUCCUGUUUGGAACGUUUGCAAGAUGCGGUGCGGGAACUUCGGAGGCAAGUUCAUGACUUGCAGUGGAAGUUGGGCGUCGUGAGAGUAAGGAUGCUCCAAGAGAUUCGUAGACUGAGGAGGGCCCUGCUGCUGUCGGUUGACAAUUGGCCGGAUGACAAUAAUAAUAAUGACGAUAAUGAUAAUAAUAAUAAUAAUAAUAAUAAUUAGGUUAUGUUUUUUCUUU